UGCAAGUCGAGCGGAUGACGGGAGCUUGCUCCUUGAUUCAGCGGCGGACGGGUGAGUAAUGCCUAGGAAUCUGCCUGGUAGUGGGGGACAACGUUUCGAAAGGAACGCUAAUACCGCAUACGUCCUACGGGAGAAAGCAGGGGACCUUCGGGCCUUGCGCUAUCAGAUGAGCCUAGGUCGGAUUAGCUAGUUGGUGGGGUAAUGGCUCACCAAGGCGACGAUCCGUAACUGGUCUGAGAGGAUGAUCAGUCACACUGGAACUGAGACACGGUCCAGACUCCUACGGGAGGCAGCAGUGGGGAAUAUUGGACAAUGGGCGAAAGCCUGAUCCAGCCAUGCCGCGUGUGUGAAGAAGGUCUUCGGAUUGUAAAGCACUUUAAGUUGGGAGGAAGGGCAGUAAGCUAAUACCUUGCUGUUUUGACGUUACCGACAGAAUAAGCACCGGCUAACUCUGUGCCAGCAGCCGCGGUAAUACAGAGGGUGCAAGCGUUAAUCGGAAUUACUGGGCGUAAAGCGCGCGUAGGUGGUUCGUUAAGUUGGAUGUGAAAGCCCCGGGCUCAACCUGGGAACUGCAUCCAAAACUGGCGAGCUAGAGUACGGUAGAGGGUGGUGGAAUUUCCUGUGUAGCGGUGAAAUGCGUAGAUAUAGGAAGGAACACCAGUGGCGAAGGCGACCACCUGGACUGAUACUGACACUGAGGUGCGAAAGCGUGGGGAGCAUACAGGAUUAGAUACCCUGGUAGUCCACUCCGUAAACGAUGUCAA
RNAcentral lists this ribosomal RNA (764 nucleotides) under Pseudomonas sp. c139(2012). Its description in RNAcentral is "bacterial SSU rRNA". It matches the Rfam family "Bacterial small subunit ribosomal RNA", at positions 56 to 815 of the family's 1533-position model. The record is from RNAcentral. Lineage: Bacteria; Pseudomonadati; Pseudomonadota; Gammaproteobacteria; Pseudomonadales; Pseudomonadaceae.